UACGUACCGUCCAAACGUUAUUCGGAUUUACUGGGCUUAAAGGGUGCGUAGGCGGCUCAGAAAGUAGGGUGUGAAAGCCCUCGGCUCAACCGAGGAAUUGCGCUCUAAACUACUGGGCUUGAGGAACGCAGAGGUAAGCGGAACUUACGGUGGAGCGGUGAAAUGCGUUGAUAUCGUAAGGAACACCAGGAGCGAAAGCGGCUUACUGGGCGUUUUCUGACGCUGAUGCACGAAAGCCAGGGGAGCGAACGGG
Molecule: ribosomal RNA, 253 nt
Filed under: uncultured prokaryote
Description: partial 16S ribosomal RNA
Rfam family: Bacterial small subunit ribosomal RNA
Source: RNAcentral